Molecule: ribosomal RNA, 1655 nt
Filed under: Salmonella enterica subsp. enterica serovar Derby
Lineage: Bacteria; Pseudomonadati; Pseudomonadota; Gammaproteobacteria; Enterobacterales; Enterobacteriaceae
Description: bacterial LSU rRNA
Rfam family: Bacterial large subunit ribosomal RNA
Source: RNAcentral
GUUGGGUAGGGGAGCGUUCUGUAAGCCUGUGAAGGUGGCCUGUGAGGGUUGCUGGAGGUAUCAGAAGUGCGAAUGCUGACAUAAGUAACGAUAAAGCGGGUGAAAAGCCCGCUCGCCGGAAGACCAAGGGUUCCUGUCCAACGUUAAUCGGGGCAGGGUGAGUCGACCCCUAAGGCGAGGCCGAAAGGCGUAGUCGAUGGGAAACGGGUUAAUAUUCCCGUACUUGGUGUUACUGCGAAGGGGGGACGGAGAAGGCUAUGUUGGCCGGGCGACGGUUGUCCCGGUUUAAGCGUGUAGGUGUGUGUUCCAGGUAAAUCCGGUUCACUUUAACACUGAGGCGUGAUGACGAGGCACUACGGUGCUGAAGCAACAAAUGCCCUGCUUCCAGGAAAAGCCUCUAAGCAUCAGGUAACAUCAAAUCGUACCCCAAACCGACACAGGUGGUCAGGUAGAGAAUACCAAGGCGCUUGAGAGAACUCGGGUGAAGGAACUAGGCAAAAUGGUGCCGUAACUUCGGGAGAAGGCACGCUGACAUGUAGGUGAAGUGAUUUACUCAUGGAGCUGAAGUCAGUCGAAGAUACCAGCUGGCUGCAACUGUUUAUUAAAAACACAGCACUGUGCAAACACGAAAGUGGACGUAUACGGUGUGACGCCUGCCCGGUGCCGGAAGGUUAAUUGAUGGGGUCAGCGCAAGCGAAGCUCCUGAUCGAAGCCCCGGUAAACGGCGGCCGUAACUAUAACGGUCCUAAGGUAGCGAAAUUCCUUGUCGGGUAAGUUCCGACCUGCACGAAUGGCGUAAUGAUGGCCAGGCUGUCUCCACCCGAGACUCAGUGAAAUUGAACUCGCUGUGAAGAUGCAGUGUACCCGCGGCAAGACGGAAAGACCCCGUGAACCUUUACUAUAGCUUGACACUGAACAUUGAGCCUUGAUGUGUAGGAUAGGUGGGAGGCUUUGAAGCGUGGACGCCAGUCUGCAUGGAGCCGGCCUUGAAAUACCACCCUUUAAUGUUUGAUGUUCUAACGUGGACCCGUGAUCCGGGUUGCGGACAGUGUCUGGUGGGUAGUUUGACUGGGGCGGUCUCCUCCUAAAGAGUAACGGAGGAGCACGAAGGUUGGCUAAUCCUGGUCGGACAUCAGGAGGUUAGUGCAAUGGCAUAAGCCAGCUUGACUGCGAGCGUGACGGCGCGAGCAGGUGCGAAAGCAGGUCAUAGUGAUCCGGUGGUUCUGAAUGGAAGGGCCAUCGCUCAACGGAUAAAAGGUACUCCGGGGAUAACAGGCUGAUACCGCCCAAGAGUUCAUAUCGACGGCGGUGUUUGGCACCUCGAUGUCGGCUCAUCACAUCCUGGGGCUGAAGUAGGUCCCAAGGGUAUGGCUGUUCGCCAUUUAAAGUGGUACGCGAGCUGGGUUUAGAACGUCGUGAGACAGUUCGGUCCCUAUCUGCCGUGGGCGCUGGAGAACUGAGGGGGGCUGCUCCUAGUACGAGAGGACCGGAGUGGACGCAUCACUGGUGUUCGGGUUGUCAUGCCAAUGGCACUGCCCGGUAGCUAAAUGCGGAAGAGAUAAGUGCUGAAAGCAUCUAAGCACGAAACUUGCCCCGAGAUGAGUUCUCCCUGAGACUUAAAGUCUCCUGAAGGAACGUUGAAGACGACGACGUUG